ACUUGAGAGUUUGAUCAUGGCUCAGAACGUACGCUGGCGGCACGCCUAACACAUGCAAGUCGAACGAAGUAGCAAUACUUAGUGGCAGACGGGUGAGUAACAUGUAGGUAUCUGCCCUUUGGCCUGGAAUAACACGAGGAAACUUGUGCUAAUACCGGAUAAGUCUUUACGGAGAAAGCUUUAUGCACCAUUGGAUGAGCCUGCACUUGAUUAGUUUGUUGGUGGGGUAAUGGCCUACCAAGACUGUGAUCAAUAGCUGAUUUGAGAGGAUGAUCAGCCACAUUGGGACUGAGACACGGCCCAAACUCCUACGGGAGGCAGCAGUGGGGAAUCUUGCACAAUGGAGGAAACUCUGAUGCAGCGAUGCCGCGUGAGUGAAGAAGGCCUUUGGGUUGUAAAGCUCUUUCGUCGGGGAAGAAAAUGACUGUACCCGAAUAAGAAGGUCCGGCUAACUUCGUGCCAGCAGCCGCGGUAAUACGAAGGGACCUAGCGUAGUUCGGAAUUACUGGGCUUAAAGAGUUCGUAGGUGGUUGAAAAAGUUGGUGGUGAAAUCCCAGAGCUUAACUCUGGAACUGCCAUCAAAACUUUUCAGCUAGAGUAUGAUAGAGGAAAGCAGAAUUUCUAGUGUAGAGGUGAAAUUCGUAGAUAUUAGAAAGAAUACCAAUUGCGAAGGCAGCUUUCUGGAUCAUUACUGACACUGAGGAACGAAAGCAUGGGUAGCGAAGAGGAUUAGAUACCCUCGUAGUCCAUGCCGUAAACGAUGUGUGUUAGACGUUGGAAAUUUAUUUUCAGUGUCGCAGCGAAAGCGAUAAACACACCGCCUGGGGAGUACGACCGCAAGGUUAAAACUCAAAUGAAUUGACGGGGACCCGCACAAGUAGUGGAGCAUGUGGUUUAAUUCGAAGAUACGCGCAGAACCUUACCAACACUUGACAUGUUCGUCGCGACUCUAAGAGAUUAGAGUUUUCGGUUCGGCCGGACGAAACACAGGUGCUGCAUGGCUGUCGUCAGCUCGUGUCGUGAGAUGUUGGGUUAAGUCCCGCAACGAGCGCAACCCUCACUUUUAGUUGCCAUCAUUCAGUUGGGCACUCUGAAAGAACUGCCAGUGAUAAGCUGGAGGAAGGUGGGGAUGACGUCAAGUCCUCAUGGCCCUUACGUGUUGGGCUACACACGUGCUACAAUGGUAUCUACAACGAGCAGCCACUACGCAAGUAAGAGCGAAUCUUCAAAACCGGUCUCAGUUCGGAUCGCAGUCUGCAACUCGACUGCGUGAAGCUGGAAUCGCUAGUAAUCGGAUAUCAGCCAUGAUCCGGUGAAUACGUUCCCGGGCCUUGUAC
This 1337-nucleotide ribosomal RNA is filed under the name uncultured marine bacterium. RNAcentral describes it as "partial 16S ribosomal RNA". It matches the Rfam family "Bacterial small subunit ribosomal RNA". The record is from RNAcentral.